UAGCGCACUUAUGCAGAAACUGUCAGUAUUUUUAUAGAGAGGUGCCUACCCCUCUUUUGGUCCACAUUAUAAAACCUAUUGAAAUAUAUGCAGCUUUUACGAAAUGAAAGAGGUAACAAGCUUUGCCAUGCACAGAAGCUGUAAUUUUGAGGCCUUAGAAUACUUCACAGGAAAUGGUUGCGGUAAGCCACGGAAAUGACAUCGCCAGCGCUGCUCUGCUCGCCACUGCAUUCACAGGUCCUUUAUAAUCACGCUGACCUGUGCUGACCCCGUAGCUACGGAGCAUUGUGUCGGAAUCCAGGGCAUGUGAAGGCCAAGGGAACGGAAUAAAGAGGGCUGCAGUCCGGAGCCCAGAGCCGAGGACCGCUGGUAAAUCAAUCAGCCCAGAAUGAGAGGAAAGGAGGGGAACCUCAUAUUGGCAGUGAAGAGGAAGAGAUGAUCGGAUCAUGUGCCACUUGAACUGAGGCGACAGCAAUAUCUCCCGCCAAAACGGUAUUUAUUGUUUGAAUUUCUUAAUAAAACUUACACAAAAAACUAAGACUUUGUUUCAUAUAGAAAAGUAACCUGCUCUUUCUUGUCUG
This is a non-coding RNA of Pimephales promelas (fathead minnow), 581 nucleotides long. Lineage: Eukaryota; Metazoa; Chordata; Actinopteri; Cypriniformes; Leuciscidae. The record is from RefSeq and is a predicted model, not a curated record.